CCCAACCAGACCCGCCCCACUGAACGAGACGAGAAGGCGUGUCGCCGGCGGAAGGCGACCCGCCCGACCCAACACUCCCCAGCCUGCCAGCCAUGUCGGCGCGUGACCGCGAGACGGCCGAGGCGCUGGUGCGGCUCGCCGCCUCGCUGGACGGGGCGGUGCUCGGCCUCGGCACGGCGGCCGUCGCAGUAGCGUCAUGGGUCAAGUACCUCGCCGUCUCGGGGCAGCUGCGCCUCGUCGCCUCCGCGGCGGCGUCCUCCAUCUCCGACCUCCACUCCCUGCUCCCUGGCAGCGGCGGAGAGCCGCGGCUCGCGGCGGUGCGGGGCUACGUGCGCCCCAAACCGGGGGGCACGAUCCUCCGCACCCCGUUCUCCGGGGAGCACGGGGUCGUCACCAAGCACACCCAGAUGUGCUUGUUCACGGAAUGGAGAGGCAUCUUUGGAUGGACCUUUGAUCUGCAUGCUCUUCUUUUCAGAUCAUGGAAGGAACAGAUUGUAACAUCUUUUAGAACGGUUCCGUUUGUUCUUGCCAGUUCUGAGAUUGGAAACCCUAUUGGGAUGGUUUAUAUCAAUGUAGAGAAGGCGGAUCAACCAUUACCUCUUACAACUGUGUUUCAUAAACUUAUCCCAAUUGAGACAACUCCUUACACAUUGUUUCAAACUAUUAUUGGCAAUGGCUAUCCCAUUGCAUUAUUGGAUGAAGAAAAAAUACUACCAAUUGGAAAGGAGCUUACAGCAAUAGGACUAUGUCGAGCAAAGGAUGAAAGUGUUGAGAUCAGCUCAUGCCCAGAUCUCCCCUUUUUCUUAUCUGAGCUGACCAAGGAUGAGAUGCAAGCUCAGCUGGCUUCGCGUGCUAGGACACUCUUUUGGGGUAGUAUUGUUUUGGGAACCUUGUCUGUUUGCCUAAUGGGCCGUGCCAUUUACAGGUGCUGGAAGAGAAUCAAACUGCGGAGAGAGGCUAGGCAAGCACAACAGUUAUUUGAGGAUGCUGAAGAUGCUAUUCAAGAAGGUGACUCCAGUGAUGAAGAAGUAGGGGACGGGCAGCUAUGUGUUGUGUGCUUAAGGAGGAGAAGGAAAGCAGCUUUUAUUCCUUGUGGGCAUCUUGUCUGCUGUUGCAAAUGUGCAUUAAGAAUGGAACGUGAGGCUGAACCAUUGUGCCCGAUGUGUCGGCAGGACAUCAGAUACAUGAUGAGGAUUUAUGACUCUUGAGAAAAUGUUAACACAUUGCUUCAAUCUAGGAACUGGCAGCAACUGUCUUGAAUAGUGUGGUUGCUGCAGUGAUUGUUCAAAUAAUGGUCCCUUUGCUGAUAAAAUCUCUGACACUGGCAGGUCCUUUUUACUAGCUGUCCCUGCAAACAUGAGGAGCACAACUGGUUAUCGUCCUGGACAUUUUCCUAGUCUAGACUACUACCUAACCGGCUGCCAUGGAUUUGUGAAUAUAUAAAAAGUUUGAACCCCUCCCAAGUUAUGCUCUUGGCCGCGUAGGACUCUACCUGGCUUAUCCUCUUUUUCUUUGCAUUGCACAUAUGUUUGCCCAUCAUGUAAACAUUGAGUUAGCUGUAAAGAUAAGGCUAAAAAAUUGGUUAUUUUCUGUCGUCUGA
This is an RNA transcript of Panicum virgatum (switchgrass), 1600 nucleotides long. It is a transcript of the gene named E3 ubiquitin-protein ligase SPL2-like, with no coding region annotated. Lineage: Eukaryota; Viridiplantae; Streptophyta; Magnoliopsida; Poales; Poaceae. The transcript is spliced from 8 exons. The record is from RefSeq and is a predicted model, not a curated record.